CCUACGGGUGGCAGCAGUAGGGAAUGUUCGUCAAUGGGCGCAAGCCUGAACGAGCAAUGCCGCGUGAACGAGGAAGGUCUUCGGAUCGUAAAGUUCUGUUGAAGGGGAAAAAGAGCGGAGAGAGGAAAUGCUUUCUGAUGGAUAGUACCCGUCGAGGAAGUCACGGCUAACUACGUGCCAGCAGCCGCGGUAAUACGUAGGGGGCGAGCGUGAGCGGGAAGGAUUGGGCGUAAAGGGUGCGUAGGCGGCCUGCUAAGUCUGGAGUGAAAGGGACCGGCUCAACCGGUACAGGCUCUGGAAACUGGCGGGCUAGCGCGCAGGAGAGGGCGGUGCAACUCCAUUUGUAGCGGUCAACUGCG
This 359-nucleotide ribosomal RNA is filed under the name uncultured bacterium. RNAcentral's name for it is "partial 16S ribosomal RNA". It matches the Rfam family "Bacterial small subunit ribosomal RNA", at positions 338 to 690 of the family's 1533-position model. The record is from RNAcentral.